GACGAACGCUGGCGGCGUGCUUAACACAUGCAAGUCGAACGGUAAGGCCCUUCGGGGUACACGAGUGGCGAACGGGUGUGUAACACGUGGUGAUCUGCCUGCACUUCGGGAUAAGCCUGGGAAACUGGGUCUAAUACCGGAUAGGACCAUGGACUUCACGGUUUGUGGUGGAAAGCUUUUGCGGUGUGGGAUGGGCCCGCCGCCUAUCAGCUUGUUGGUGGGGUAAUGGCCUACCAAGGCGACGACGGGUAGCCGGCCUGAGAGGGUGUCCGGCCACACUGGGACUGAGAUUACGGCCCAGGACUCCUACGGGAGCAGCAGUGGGAAUAUUGCACAAUGGGCGCAAGCCUGAUGCAGCGACGCCGCGUGAGGGACUGACGGCCUCGGUUGUAAACCUCUUUCAAUAGGGACGAAGCGCAACGUAGACGAUACCGUAAUAGAAGAAGCAACCGGCCGAACUACGUGCCAGCAGCCG
RNAcentral lists this ribosomal RNA (475 nucleotides) under uncultured bacterium. RNAcentral's name for it is "bacterial SSU rRNA". It matches the Rfam family "Bacterial small subunit ribosomal RNA", at positions 28 to 517 of the family's 1533-position model. The record is from RNAcentral.